AUGAAACAAGUAGAGCCAUGUCCACCUAGGGUCAAAUGGGAUCUAUUCUCCCAUUUGAAGAACAUACUAUUUUGUGCUGAUGAACAGCAGAGAAGCUGGAAAGGAUAUUCUAUAAAAGGAUGUGACACGGUCUCUUUUAUUCUUCAUUCAGUUCACUUCCUCAGGAAUGCAAAAAGAAUGGCCUCAAAGAUGAAAGUAUCAAUGGACAAGACUGACACAGAGCAUAUUUUACUUGUAAAAAGAUACAUAGCCCCAUCUCUAAUUUCUCGCACCUGUAAUAAAUCUUCAUCUGGUAGAAGAAAAGCUGCAUGCCCACUACUUCUUGUGAGCAGAAGAAUAGAAAAGGAAGAAAAUGUCCUAGUUUCCCUCUUAUGCAAGAAUGGAUGGAGGAAGUCACACAAAGCAAUAAGCUUCUCUUCAUAAAUGGAGGAGAGCAUUUGGCCUCAAGUCAUAAAAACACCCCAGUCCUGGAGCUCCAAGUGGUGAGACACUCACAGCUCUGAAAGAUGUAUGGUGUGCAGCAGUGUACCUUAAGGACUAAGAUAGGGUAUUCAAAUUUCAGCAAAAGUGCUCUCCAAAGUUCUCAAAGGCCGAUUUUCUGAAAUUCUUGGAAUAGAGUUGAAGAAACAGUCAUGGAUACUGUUAGAGCUUUUUUAUGCGUAUGUCUUACCAUUUGGAGCACAGUAAUGUGAACCGAAAACACCACACUAUGUUGAAGAGAAUGUUUCCUUGGCAUUUAUAAUUACAGAAAACAAGCAAAUAAUCCCUCUCUUUUGUCAAAUAAGUAAGGCAGUAAAUUGAAGACAUUUCUUUUUAGAUCAAAACAACACCUAAGAAAAGCACUUAGCCCAGUGCUCACAUAAUGAACCACAGUUCAGCUUGCAAUGAUGUCAGGUUUUCCUCUCAGACCUUCAAGUGCUUUUGACAAGUCAGAAGUAAUGAUGGCUCACUAGGAGUGUAAUUGGCCACUUACUCUCUUCAGUGAGUUUAGAACAUUGAUCUUUUCCUUUAGUUGCCACAAAUAUUAUUGCUUUCCUUAUGAAGGCAGUUCUAAAUUUUAAAUAUAUAUCAAAACAAAAAAGUACCAUAAGGGCUAGUUUGAGGUUCCCUUUCCCUAAAGCAUUAGGAUAUUUGCAAUUAUGUACCCUCACAAAACACUGCUACAAUGCUACCUGUAAGGUAGGACACUCAGUUAAAAAUAUUAUAAAAAGACGUAAGUAGAGCAAAGAAGGAAGCAUUUGCUUCAUAAGGCUGUGCAUAUACAUGAACACUCAAAUAAAAUACACACAGGUCACA
This 1296-nucleotide long non-coding RNA is filed under the name Numida meleagris (helmeted guineafowl). Its description in RNAcentral is "lncRNA (ENSNMEG00000010763.1)". The record is from RNAcentral. Lineage: Eukaryota; Metazoa; Chordata; Aves; Galliformes; Numididae.